AGAGGAAGUAAAAGUCGUAACAAGGUUUCCGUAGGUGAACCUGCGGAAGGAUCAUUACAGGAUGCUGGGCGCAAGCCCGUGCAGACACGUGGAUAAGCAAGGAUAAAAAUACAUUAAAUUUAUUUAGUUUAGUCAAGAAAGAAUUUUAAAACUUUCAACAAUGGAUCUCUUGGUUCUCGCGUCGAUGAAGAGCGCAGCGAAUUGCGAUACUUAAUGUGAAUUGCAGAUUUUCGUGAAUCAUCGAGUUCUUGAACGCACAUUGCGCCCUCUGGUAUUCCGGAGGGCAUGCCUGUUUGAGCGUCAUUUCCUUCUCACUAUUUAGUGGUUAUGAGAUUACACGAGGGUGUUUUCUUCAAAGGAAAGAGGGGAGAGUGAGGGGAUAAUGAUUUAAGGUUUCGGCCGUUCAUUAUUUUUUUCUUCUCCCCCAGUUAUCAAGUUUGACCUCAAAUCAGGUAGGAGGACCCGCUGAACUUAAGCAUAUC
This 482-nucleotide unclassified non-coding RNA is filed under the name Brettanomyces bruxellensis. RNAcentral's name for it is "sequence contains ITS1, 5.8S rRNA gene and ITS2". The stretch from base 150 to 303 matches the Rfam family "5.8S ribosomal RNA". Lineage: Eukaryota; Fungi; Ascomycota; Pichiomycetes; Pichiales; Pichiaceae. The record is from RNAcentral.